RNAcentral lists this long non-coding RNA (1012 nucleotides) under Homo sapiens (human). Its description in RNAcentral is "HSALNT0165476". Lineage: Eukaryota; Metazoa; Chordata; Mammalia; Primates; Hominidae. The record is from RNAcentral.
CUCCAGGCCACUGAGUUGCCUGCCAUCCAAAGGGGGUGGGCGGGAUUGGAAGGAGGCUGUGGCAGCUCUGUUCCCUGUUCACCUCCCCCUGCCAGGGAAGGCAGUACCCUCUCUGCCAAGGGCCCUCUGUGUAUUCCCUUCUCUCUGAGGAAUUGAAAUUUUUGUCUCUGGUGCACGUAAAGCAGAAUGUUCCCUGACACCAGUGUGUGGAUUUUUAACAUCGCCGUGAGUCUGAAAGGACCACAGGUUUUUCUGCAGCUAUUUUCUAGCAUUUGCCAGUCCCUGUGCCUGGACUGAUUUGAAUACUUUGUUUCUCUCCCUGUACCAUUUACCCUCCCACCUUUCCAUCCUGCCUCCUACCACCCUUGGAUAAAUGGAUUUUGUAAUUCUAGCUGUUGUAUUUUGUGGAUUUGUUAUUUUUGUUGUUUUUCUGUGAAGCACAUACAUUGGAAAUGGGAGGUAAAGAGUGUCCCAGUUGCUCCUGGUCACUCCCUUUAUAGCCAUUACUGUCUUGUUUCUUGUAACUCAGGUUAGGUUUUGGUCUCUCUUGCUCCACUGCAAACAAACAAACAAACAAAAAUCCUGAAGAGAUGAGAUAGGAGGAAAGACCUCACAGCCGUCUGCUGGGUUUGAGGGAGUGAUUUUCUUCCUUCCCUUUGAAGGGGAGAAAGCUAUUUUCACUGGUACAUUUAAAGUCCCCCAACUAUGGGGAGGUACCAAUUCUGGACAAGUGCCACUGCAACAACACUAAACCUGAACUUUUCAACUCUGUUGAAGGUGGGAAGGCAGCGGGCAGAAAUCUACUAUUGGCCACUGCCAGGUCUGUUUCAUAUUUCAAAGGAAUAUUGGGUGCUGCAAAUAGGAACUGAAGGGGUAAAUGUAUUAAACCUGUGAUUAUUUGAUGUUUUCCUGCCAUUUUAAGAAAUUAAAUGUUGGGGGCAGAUAUCAAAAUACUUGUACAAUUUUAAAAUGUCACAAGUAAACCUGAGCUGGUUUCCAAAAAAAAAAGAAA